This 441-nucleotide ribosomal RNA is filed under the name Drosophila canalinea. RNAcentral's name for it is "partial 12S ribosomal RNA". The record is from RNAcentral. Lineage: Eukaryota; Metazoa; Arthropoda; Insecta; Diptera; Drosophilidae.
UAUUAUUUAAAAUGUAAUUAUAUAAACUUAAGUAGUAAAAGUUAUGUUCUUAAAACUUAAAAAAUUUGGCGGUAUUUUAGUCUAUCCAGAGGAACCUGUUUUGUAAUCGAUAUUCCACGAUGGACCUAACUUAAAAUUGUAAUCAGUUUAUAUACCGUCGUUAUCAGAAUAUUUUAAAAGAAUAUUAAUAUUCAAUAAUUUUAAUUAAAAUUUAUAUCAGAUCAAGGUGUAGCUUAUAUUUAAGUAAUAAUGGGUUACAAUAAAUAUAUUUAAACGGAUAAAAUUAUGAAAAAAUUUUUCAAGGUGGAUUUGGUAGUAAAAUUAUAAAGAUUAAUAAUUUGAUUUUAGCUCUAAAAUAUGUACACAUCGCCCGUCGCUCUUAUUAUUAAGGUAAGAUAAGUCGUAACAUAGUAGAUGUACUGGAAAGUGUAUCUAGAAUGA